RNAcentral lists this ribosomal RNA (446 nucleotides) under uncultured bacterium. Its description in RNAcentral is "bacterial SSU rRNA". It matches the Rfam family "Bacterial small subunit ribosomal RNA", at positions 330 to 792 of the family's 1533-position model. The record is from RNAcentral.
UCCAGACUCCUACGGGAGGCAGCAGUGGGGGAUAUUGCACAAUGGGGGAAACCCUGAUGCAGCGACGCCGCGUGUGGGAAGACGGUCCUCUGGAUUGUAAACCACUGUCCCCAGGGACGAAGAUGACGGUAGCAGAGGAGGAAGCUCCGGCUAACUACGUGCCAGCAGCCGCGGUAAUACGUAGGGAGCGAGCGUUGUCCGGAUUUACUGGGUGUAAAGGGUGCGUAGGCGGCUUGGCAAGUCAGUAGUGAAAUCCAUGGGCUUAACCCAGGAACUGCUAUUGAAACUGUCGAGCUUGAGUGAAGUAGAGGUAGGCGGAAUUCCCGGUGUAGCGGUGAAAUGCGUAGAGAUCGGGAGGAACACCAGUGGCGAAGGCGGCCUACUGGGCUUUAACUGACGCUGAGGCACGAAAGCGUGGGUAGCAAACAGGAUUAGAUACCCCAGUA